GCAUGGGUGGCUCAGUUGUUAAGCGUCUGACUUCAACUCAGGUCAUGAUCUCACAGUUUAUGGGUUCGAGCCCCAUGUCAGGCU
Molecule: transfer RNA, 84 nt
Filed under: Felis catus (domestic cat)
Lineage: Eukaryota; Metazoa; Chordata; Mammalia; Carnivora; Felidae
Also listed under: 2 other names
Rfam family: tRNA
About the family: Transfer RNA (tRNA) molecules are approximately 80 nucleotides in length. Their secondary structure includes four short double-helical elements and three loops (D, anti-codon, and T loops).
Source: Rfam by way of RNAcentral